UACGGGGGGGGUAAGCGUUGUUCGGAAUUACUGGGCGUAAAGGGCUCGUAGGCGGCCAACUAAGUCGGACGUGAAAUCCCCGAGCUCAACUCGGGAACUGCGUCCGAUACUGGCAGGCUUGAAUCCGGGAGAGGGAUGCGGAAUUCCAGGUGUAGCGGUGAAAUGCGUAGAUAUCUGGAGGAACACCGGUGGCGAAGGCGGCGUUCUGGACUGCAACUGACACUGAGGAACGAAAGCCAGGGGAGCAAACGGG
Molecule: ribosomal RNA, 253 nt
Filed under: uncultured bacterium
Lineage: Bacteria
Description: partial 16S ribosomal RNA
Rfam family: Bacterial small subunit ribosomal RNA
Source: RNAcentral